RNAcentral lists this non-coding RNA (755 nucleotides) under Yanocephalus yanonis. The record is from RNAcentral. Lineage: Eukaryota; Metazoa; Arthropoda; Insecta; Hemiptera; Cicadellidae.
UAUAGAUUUAAUUUCAGUUAUUUAAUUGGUUUAUUCAUUAAUUUACAUGGAUUUUUUUUAAUUUUUUUAGAUUCCAGUAGUUUAUAUUAAUUUAUUUAAGAUUAUUUUUGAAUUAGUAAUUGAAUUAUUAAUAGACAUAAAUUUGUGCCAGCAUUCGCGGUUAAACAAUUUAUUAUAAUCAAUUUUUUUUAGGUUUAGUUUACAUAUUUAUUAGAUUUUAUAUUUACUUAAUAUGUAUUUAGGUGGAAUUUAUACCUUAUUUUUAAUUUUAAUUAAAUUGUUUCUAAGAAAUUUUUUAUGAUAAACUAGGAUUAGAUACCCUAUUAUAAUUAAAUGUAAAAAUUAAUAAACUUUGAAUAAGUAUUAGUUACGUUCUUUAAAGCUCAAAAGAUUUGGCGGUAAAGUAUCUUUUUAGAGGAACCUGUUGAUUAAUUGAUAAACCACGAUGGUUCAUACUUUUUUCUUAUUUGUAUACCGCUAUAAUGAGGAAUGUUUUGUAAAAAAAUUUUCUUUUUCUAUUUAGAGAUUUAUAUUAGGUCAAGGUGCAGUUUUUAAAGAGGAUCUGUGGGUUACUUAAAUUUUUAAUUUGUAAGGAUAUCUUAAUGUUUUUAUGGUUGAAUAAGGAUUUAAAAGUAAAUUUGAAUUAACUAAUUUGUUUGAAUUAAGCACUAUUUUAUGUACAUAUCGCCCGUCACUCCUAAAUUACUUAGGAUAAGUCGUAACAAAGUAAUUUUACCGGAAGGUGAAGUUAGAAU